This 701-nucleotide ribosomal RNA is filed under the name Bacillus sp. 6BL. RNAcentral describes it as "bacterial SSU rRNA". It matches the Rfam family "Bacterial small subunit ribosomal RNA", at positions 8 to 689 of the family's 1533-position model. The record is from RNAcentral. Lineage: Bacteria; Bacillati; Bacillota; Bacilli; Caryophanales; Bacillaceae.
AGAGUUUGAUCCUGGCUCAGGAUGAACGCUGGCGGCGUGCCUAAUACAUGCAAGUCGAGCGAAUGGAUUAAGAGCUUGCUCUUAUGAAGUUAGCGGCGGACGGGUGAGUAACACGUGGGUAACCUGCCCAUAAGACUGGGAUAACUCCGGGAAACCGGGGCUAAUACCGGAUAACAUUUUGAACCGCAUGGUUCGAAAUUGAAAGGCGGCUUCGGCUGUCACUUAUGGAUGGACCCGCGUCGCAUUAGCUAGUUGGUGAGGUAACGGCUCACCAAGGCAACGAUGCGUAGCCGACCUGAGAGGGUGAUCGGCCACACUGGGACUGAGACACGGCCCAGACUCCUACGGGAGGCAGCAGUAGGGAAUCUUCCGCAAUGGACGAAAGUCUGACGGAGCAACGCCGCGUGAGUGAUGAAGGCUUUCGGGUCGUAAAACUCUGUUGUUAGGGAAGAACAAGUGCUAGUUGAAUAAGCUGGCACCUUGACGGUACCUAACCAGAAAGCCACGGCUAACUACGUGCCAGCAGCCGCGGUAAUACGUAGGUGGCAAGCGUUAUCCGGAAUUAUUGGGCGUAAAGCGCGCGCAGGUGGUUUCUUAAGUCUGAUGUGAAAGCCCACGGCUCAACCGUGGAGGGUCAUUGGAAACUGGGAGACUUGAGUGCAGAAGAGGAAAGUGGAAUUCCAUGUGUAGCGGUGAAAUGC